CAGUCGCCACGGUAAUACGUAGGUCCCGAGCGUUGUCCGGAUUUAUUGGGCGUAAAGGGAGCGCAGGCGGUUUAGUAAGUCUGAAGUUAAAGGCAUUGGCUCAACCAAUGUAUGCUUUGGAAACUGUUAGACUUGAGUGCAGAAGGGGAGAGUGGAAUUCCAUGUGUAGCGGUGAAAUGCGUAGAUAUAUGGAGGAACACCGGUGGCGAAAGCGGCUCUCUGGUCUGUCACUGACGCUGAGGCUCGAGAGCGUGGGUAGCGAACAGGAUUAGAUACCCCCGUAGUCCCUGUCUCUUAUACA
This 301-nucleotide ribosomal RNA is filed under the name uncultured bacterium. RNAcentral's name for it is "partial 16S ribosomal RNA". It matches the Rfam family "Bacterial small subunit ribosomal RNA", at positions 509 to 808 of the family's 1533-position model. The record is from RNAcentral.